Molecule: long non-coding RNA, 13220 nt
Filed under: Ananas comosus (pineapple)
Lineage: Eukaryota; Viridiplantae; Streptophyta; Magnoliopsida; Poales; Bromeliaceae
Description: long non-coding RNA (ACOM_LNC030770)
Source: RNAcentral
CUCGGAUAGCCUAUGGCAACGAAAAUCUCAUUUAUUUUUCCCAAAUUAUUUUCCGUUCUCGCAAUCCAAAUAUUUUAUUACCAGACGAACAAAAAUGUUUGAUUGACAAUCUAUGGCUAUGUUACCAUAGGACAUCAAAUCAUCAAGAACCAGACAAAAAAUAUUUUGUUGCCUGCAUAAAUUCCUUAAUAGAAUAUUUUCAGACAGUCAAACCCAAAGACUCUUUCCCUUUCUAUGUGGUACUUCAAGGUUUUAAAACCGGAAUUUUUGAUUCCUGGAUUGAUGUUAUUACCCAGCUUAAAAAUUUUCCUCACCCUCUCUACAAAGGUUUUCAUUCUAUCUCCGAAGCCUUAGACACUGCUCGUACCUACUUUGGUCCAAAUUUUUUUAUCUCCCCCAAUAUUCGCUCUUCUCCACAUAUUCAUGCCUCUACAUCCACCCACAAUCCUGAGAAAAUUAGUUUCUGUGAAAACUGCUCAACAACGGCAACACAGCUCCAAAAACUGAAUACUAUUUGUGAUGACUUGAGAACAAAGGAUCAGAAAAAUAUUCAAAGAAUUGCUGUUCUGGAACAACAGAUCAAAGACCUCAAGAACCCCUCACAACAAGGUAUUGUAUCUCUACCUCAAUCUUCCUCUUAUCCUCCUUCAAAGUAUCCUCCUAUAAUGACAACUACACCGAGUUUGGUCUUUCCUCCUAUGACCGACAUAAAUACUCCAUUUCAAAUUACUCCAUUUCAAAACCCACUAAUCCCAGUAGUCCAUCCCUCUAUCUCAGUAAAACCUUUUUUAUCUUCAGCACCACAAAAACCUACCCUCAAAAGAUAUCCACAGCCAAUUGCCAAACCUUUUAGGCAAAUUGAACCCUCUUCAGAACCAUUACCACACCCUAGUAUAGGAAACACUGAACAAAAACAAGGCGAUCCCAUGAUACUAGAAACAUCUUCUCCCAAAUGUGACAAUUUAGGCGAAAAUGCUUAGCCGCCUGAUUCUGACAUUUUGUACAUUUUUGUAAAUAUUUCUUUCAGUUCUGCAGUUUUAAUUGCGCCUUUUCAUUUCGACCUUGUAUUGGACACUGCUAAAAAAAAAAAAAAUUCAGAAAAAAGCAAAAGAGAAAAAUGAAAAAAAAAAAGAUUUUCCAGAGAAAAGUGGAAAUAUGAAGAAGAAGAAAGAAUCUGGAAAUUGAAAAAAUCAAAAGAAAAAAUUGAAAAAAUGGAAAAACAGAAAAAACAAGAGAAAAUUCAAGAAAAGAAAGAAAAAAUCAGAAAAAGAAAAAAGAAAAAAGAAUUAACCCGCUGUGAUCCUUUCACAGGCAAAAAUAAGGGUUUUUUAGUUUAGGGCUUUAAUUUCUGUUCUUUAACCACCUUGUGAUCCAACUCCAUCAUCAAAAGCAAGGUUCCAAAGUCUGUUCCCAAACAGACACCACCAAGUCCAACUUUCCACCUCCAGAGCAAUUUUUUGGCUUCCUCCAAGCAAGUCCCAAAGCGACACGUGGCCUCCAUUUGGACAAAUAAUAAUCCGACACGUGGACACCACUCAUGCACCAGUUCCAUGCACCAGGUCCACCAAGAAUCCCGGCAAGAAUGACAUUCAAAACCACUACGCCUCAAACCCCCUACGCCUCAGGUUUUUUAAAACCGUGGGCCCACGUCAUCAUUCCACCCAAUACCUCAUCCUGCGAAGCCAUGGUUUUUUUGAAAACCAGGUGCCGCCGCAGUAUUCUCCUCCCAAACCACCUCUUCCUUCGGCUAUAAAGGAAGAAAACCUCCUCCUCCUCUCAGAGCAUCGAAACCUCAGAGCAUCGAAUGCAUAGAGAAAGAAGCAGAGCAAGAAAAAAUCCUACUUAGCCCCUGCCUUAUGAAAAAUUCCGCUGAAGCUUAAAGGAAGAUCAUUUCGACGACAAGUGAAGAAUGAAGCAAGCCUCUUGUUAGAUAUACCAUCCUAGCUCCACAAAUAAUUCCCUAAUGGCCUUUAUUUUCCUAUCCUUCCUGUAAAAAUUAUCUUUUUUCUUAACCGCAUUCUGGCGUGAAGAGUCUGUACAAACAAGUCCUUCUUUCCCCCCGGGAAGUCCCGGAAGGGAAACCUUCUAGCAUUGUGAUGUAAGUUUUAUCUCUUGUUAAUAUUAUAUUUCUCGAACUCUUCUAUCCAUGGCAUUUUCUUUGCCCCAUGAUUCCCUUUCCUUGGACUCUUAAUGAAAAUUUAAGAGGUUCUCUCUGGAUAAUUAUUUCAGCUUAAGCAAGUGUAAAGCAUAUAUGCUUGGCAGAUUUGAUAAGAGAAAAAAUGCUCUGUAAUUUUCGCCAUUGAUAGCCAGAGGUGCUUUGCGGCGUUAGAGCGAGGUUCUCUGAAAACUGUACGCCAAGAGGGUCUUGUGCACCAACACUGUGUCUUAAGUGGUGUUAUCCACAUUAGAAAAUUAAAUUUCAUCAUAAGUCCGAGUUUUAGGAAAAUUGCAUCAUCGAAAAUUUAAUGAGAUAAAGAGUUUUAGAAAUAUAAAAAACAUCUGAAAAAUUUUUAUCUUGAUUUCUAGAAGGGAGUACCAGACGGGACCUACUUUAAAAAAGAUUUGGAAACUUAGUUUAUUUUCUAAAAACGGAAAUUUUAAAUUUGCACUUCAUCCUAUUUUUAUUCAUCCUACAAAUAUCAUUCAAGACAUAUAUUAUUUUCUUUCCGUUCCUCUUUUACUGUGAACUAUCUAUCAAACAAUUUCAUCUAAACAUCCACCUAUCCAUCCCAAUUAAAUUAAUAUUUAAUAACGACCAACAUCGUUUCCGCCUACAAACACACUUUAAUUUAAGUUUUUAAAAGCUUUCUCUUAAAGAAAAGUUUAAAAAGAUAAAAAAAAAAAGAGAAAAAACAACGUGCAUGUCACUUUGCGUAAUUAGCACUAAUUACGCCACUUAAAUUUUAGACCGGAAAAAUUUAUAAAAAAUCUUAAAAAAUCAGAAAUAUUCCCACGAGUCUUUUGCUACCCUUGUCCAGAGUAGCCGACAUAUAGUUUCCCCUUUGCAUUUUUCUGUUUGCAUAGUAAACUUAAAAAGUUAAAAAAAAAAAAAAAAAAAUUUCCACGUGAAGCCACUGUAUGCAUAGUUAUCGUGCAUAGUAACUUCACUAGUUUUCGACAGCAACAUUUCCAGACAGAAAAAAUACCAAAAAAUUCAGAAAAAUCUUACGAGUAUUUUGCCACCAUUCUUCAGAAUAGCCGACAUACGGUCUCUCCUGUAAAAAUCUUUCUUUCUUUCAAAUCACUAUUUGCAUAGUAACUUGCAUAGUAAUUUAUUUACGUACGCACUAUUUCUACUUAGUAUCCUACGCUAAUUAAGCUUUUUCUAGCUAUAUCAGAAAAAUUCUCCAAAAAUACCCAAAAAAUUGUUAAAAAUCCAACUUUCUCUUUCUUGCCCUUAUCUUUUUCAACCGGUAUUUUCUAAUACUUACUUUUCAAUAUAUUACAUAAUCUGACCCAACUCUACUAUUUCCGCAUUUCCCUAAAAAUCCUAAAAAAUCCAAAAAAUAUUUUAAAAAUCCUUUUUAGGUUUUUGCUUCUUUCAAAGGUUUGUUUUUCCUACUAUCUUAGGGUUUUUAUAAAUAGACUAGGGUUUUCUCCAUAAAUCCUAGGGUUUUUAUCUUAAGGGUUUUUUAUAACAACAGACUUGUAGUUUGUGUUUAAAGAUCAUUUCCGCACCUUCUUCUAAACCCGAAACCCUAAACCCUAAACCCUAAACCCUAAACCUUAAACUUGGAACUAGCCAAGCCUAAACUCUCUAGCCCCCCCUCUUUCCCCCCUCUUGGUAUCAGAGCUUAGACUUUCUUGGUCAAACUUACCCAGACUUUCUUGGUCAAACUUACCUAGAAUCUCUUGGUUUCAAGUUACUAAACUUAUAAAGACUUUAUUGAUUAAACUAGUAGAGACUUUAGCUUUAUCACUUAGCUAUUUUACUACAAUCAAUUCAACAGCCUCAUUCUCUUUUAAACAAGACAGAGAAAAGAAACGAAUACAAAUCUUCCUUGAAUGCAACCACAUUAUUGAUAAUAGUAAAAUCUUUUUAACAAUCAUCCUCAAUACCACCAUAUUAUGGAAUUUUCUACAUCAUCAUCUUCUCAAUCACACAGAUUUUCUAGGUCUAAUUCCUAUAGAUCUGAAGAUAGUGAAUCUACAAUAUCUUUAAGAGCUCCUAAGUCUAGAGCAAGGAACAUAGUUGAAAAAAUCUUUUGUAGACCAAAACCUCUUCCAUUAGUCCCCAGAUCACAGACACCUCAACUAGACACAGUUGUAGAUGUUGAUGAUGAUAUCGCAAUCUUCCGUACCCACGGAUUACGUCUUAUAAAUCCAGACAUCUUAUAUGAUAACCGUCAACGAUAUGUUGACAAGACUAAAUUUAUUUCCUUCAAGAGUGAAGUAUCAGUUGAAUGUUAUGACGGUCAACACAUUUCUAUACCCCUUGCUGAUGAAGAAGUACAAAAAAGUAUUAGAAAGGCAGAUAUAGCACUUAUGCAUUUAGGAUUAAUUGUAAUAGGCAUAAAAGGCCUGGUACGUAAAAAACUAGGAUCUAAAGUACUCUUAAUGCCUUAUGACAAUAGACAUAAAAAUAUAAUUGACGCAUCCUUAGGAUGUACAGAAAUAGAUAUGAAUUACAACGGUGGAAUAUUUUAUGUAGUUCCAGACUUUCUAAUGCCUUCAUUAGACUUUGCAAAUCAAAUUAAGAUUGGUAUACAAGUCAGAGGAAUAGACUUAUAUGAAGGACAAAACUUUAGAAACUUACAAGUUUGUAUUGGAUUUACAGGUCUGUUAACACCCACUGCCGAGUCACAUUUUUUAAUGAACCCCUUAGGUGUAGUAGAUUUAAUGGGAACACAAGGCAUGAAAUUAAUAGCACCAAUGGAAAUAGAUGCUAAAAAAUAUGCCGGCCUUGAAUGGAACUUGGAUAAAUUUACACAAAUUAGACAAACAACAAUAGCUCCUGCUGAUACUAUUUACUACCAAAAUGAACAAGGAAGGAACUCACUCAGAUUCACAGACUUUGAGACAAUUGAAGAAACAGAAAAUGACAAAGAUAGGACGACACCACUAAUACGAAAAAGAAAUAGUACAUCAACUCAACUCGGUGAAUCAAGUACCCAAAGAAGAGAUUUUACUCUAUUACCUCAAAACCAACCACCAAACUUAAAUGUACCAUAUAAUCUAGAAAAACAGCCCAAUAUCGAAUAUAAUUUUAUGGAAGAUAAUUAUAUUGACUAUUCUUCUGAAUCUGAACCUGAAGAUGAAGAAGAUGAAGAAUUUAGUGAUGAAGAAGAAAACCGUCUGAUAGAACAAAUCAGGCUAAAAAGACAAUUAAGAUCUGAAAAAGAUAAAAAAUUAGGAUAUACUAAGCAAGAUGACAGGUUUAUCUAUAACCUAAGAGACGAAAUAAGAGAAAUAAACUUAGCAGAGGAAGGAGAAGGAUCUAAUCCUCCUGAAACACAGACUCCUCCACCAUAUCAUAUUGAACAUCCAUUAAACACUCCUCCAGCUCCACAGAGACCUCCUCGACCUCAAACAACAAAUCCUGGUUAUUCUCAUAUACCAUACUAUGAUACAGUUAGGAUGCCAGCCGAAACCUACAACACUGGUAAUUUCCCUAGACAUCGCAUCUCCUCAGCCCCAGAAGAGCAAAUCUAUCCUUAUGGUCGCAAUGUUAGAUCUUAUGGCAAAAAAUAUCCUUUUGAAAAUCCUGUUAAUUUACAAGAAGCAGGAUCUGGAAAAAUAUUAAACAUAGCUGCUCAUGACCCCCAAACUUGGGAUUCUAUAAUAGACAUUUGGAAAGGAUUAGUUGUAGCAGAUUAUAUUCGUAACCAACACUACAUGAAUACUGAUAACGCCGAGGAAAUGUAUAAAUAUUUAGAAACCUUUUUAGGAGAAUCUACCAAAGGAAUGUGGGAACAAUAUAAAGUUCAAUAUGAAGAUGAAUUCAGACAUUUAUUAACACUAGGAUGUAAUCCUUGUAAUUUUACAAACAAAGUUCAUUCUCUUAUUACCGGUCAAGACCCUAAUUCUGGCCAAUUGCUACUCCAAAAUCAAGCCCUUAUCAGCCUAGAACAACUUAGUAUUUCUACCUGGUUCCCUAUCAAAGACUUUCUACAAGCAUACUUAUAUUAUGCAAGUAUAAGUGGGAAUGCUUUUAGCCAAGACAUAGGACGAAAAUUAUUCUUAAAACUUCCAGGAGUCCUAGGCAGAGAAAUCCAAGAUAGAUGGGAUACAAUGGAAAAAAAAACUAUAAGGCAAAACCCAGAUACUAAAUGGUCCAUAGGACAAAGAGUAAAAUUCAUAAUGAAUAUACUACAAGAGAAAUGUGCCAACAUACAAAUCACAAAACAACUCAAAGACAAUGAAUACUCUUUCUGUAAAAGUGUUGUGUAUACUCCCCAACAGUAUAGAAACCCAUUUUAUGAAACUCCAAAGAAAAAAUAUAAACAUUAUAUCCCUCAAUACAAAGGAUAUAAGACAAGAAUGAAAUAUUCCUUACGACGAUCAAAAGCCAAAAAACCCUAUUUAAAUAAAGAUAACCAUGUUAGAAAAUAUAAAUCAGACAGAACUUAUAAAAGCAAACUUCUCUGUUAUACAUGUAAUAGUCCAGGGCAUUUUGCAAAUGCAUGUCCAAGAAGACAACAUAAAAAACCGAAAUGCUUUACUUAUAGAAGAUACUGGCGAAACCUUGUUAGCAGUAGAUGAAUUUGUCUCAGACAUUGAAACUAUUUACUCCAUUGAAAAUAAUAUAGUUUACGAGAAAGAGAGUGAAAGAGAAUCCUCCUCUGAUGAAGACAAUAAUAACUGUAAUACUUUUAUCUCAAAUAUGAUUGAAGGUACUAAGACAACAAAGCAAAAAGAACAUACAUAUUUUUUUGAAUCUGCAAUGAUAUUUGAAGACCCUGACGAAAAUACAUCCAUAACCUCCCCGCUAGAGGAUAAAACAUGGAAUUCGUUUUAUGAUAGUACCACAAUUCUUUUUGAGANGAUAAAACUUACAUCACAACGCUAGAAGGUUUCCCUUCCGGGACUUCCCGGGGGGAAAAAAGGACUUGUUUGUACAGACUCUUCACUCCAGAUUGCAGUUGAUAAAAAGAUAAAUUUUUACAGGAGGGGGAGAAAAAUAAAAGCCAUUGGAUUUAUUUGUGGAGCUAGGAUGCUAUAUCUAACAAGAUGAGAGCUUCAUUCUUCACUUGUUGUCGAAAUGAUCUUCCUUUAAGCUUCAGCGCAAUUUUUACAUAAGGCAGGGGCUAAGUGGGAUUUUCUCUUGCUCUGCUUCCUUGCUCACCAUGCUUCAAGAGGAGGAGGAAGGCUUCCUUUUAUAAGAAAAAGGAAGAGUGGUUUUGGAGGAGAAAACUGCGGCGGCACCUGGUUUUCAAAAAAACCGCGGCUACGCAGGUUGAGGUAAUGGAAGGAAUGAUGACGCGACAUGAUGACGUGGGCCCACAGGCUUUUCAAAAAAAACCUCAGGCGUAGUGGUUUUGGAUGGUCAUCAUUGGCAUGACUUUUUGAAAAUUCGGUGGACCUGGUGCAUCAGUGAUGUCCACGUGUUGCUUUAAUAUUUGUCCAGAUGGAGGCCAUUUGUUGAUUCUUCAUUGGCUUGGUGGGGGCCAAAUAUUGCUCUGAAAUUUGGUGGUGUCUGUUUGGGAACAGACUUUGGAACCUUGCUUUUGGUGGUGGAGUUGGAUCACAAGGUGGUUAAAGAACAGAAAUUAAAGCCCUAAACUAAAAAACCCUUAUUUUUGCCUGUGAAGGAAUCACAGCGGGUUGAUUUCUUUUUUCUUUUUUCUUUUUCUGAUUUUUUCUUUUUUUUCUUGAUUUUUUCUUCUUUUUUGUUCUUUUUUCAUUUUUCAAUUUUUUCUUUGGUUUUUUCAUUUCCAGAUUCUUUCUUCUUCUUUUGAUAUUUCCACUUUUUUCUGGAAAUUUUCUGUUUUUUCUCCUUUUUUUAGCAGUGUCCGAAUACGCGGACUACAUGAAAAGGCAUAAUUGAAAAACAGAUGCAGAACUGAAGGAAAUAUAUACAAAUAUGUACAAAACAUCAGAACCAGGCGGCUAAGCAAUUUCCCCUAAAUUGUCAAUUUUGGGAGAAGGUGCUUCUAGUAUCAUGGGAUCUUCUUGUUUUUCUUCAGUGUUUCCUAUACUAGGGUGUGGUAAUGGUUCUGAAGAGGGCUUAGUUCUUGGAAAUGGUUUAGCAAUUGGCUGUGGAGGUUUUUUGUGGAAAGCUUUUUGUGGUGGAAAAGGUGCUGAUGAUAGUGGAAGCGGUUUUACUGAGGUGGAUGGAUGGACUACUGGGAUUAGUGGGUUUUGAAAAGGAGCAUUUAUGUUGGUAAUUGGGGGAAAGACCAAACUUGGUGUUAUUGUCAUUAUAGGAGGAUACUUUGGAGGAGGAUAAGAGGAAGAUUGAGGUAGAGAUACAAUACCUUGUUGUGAAGGAUGCUUGAGGUCUCUGAUCUGAUGUUCAAGGAUUGCAAUUCUUUGUAGAUUUUUCUGAUCCUUUGUUCUUAAGUCAUCGCAAAUGGUAUUCAGCUUCUGAAGCUGUGUUGCCAUUGUUGAGCAGUUUUCACAGAAACUAUUUUUCUCAAGAUUGUGGGUGGAUGUAGAGGCUUGGAUAUGUGGAGAGGAGCGAAUAUUGGGAGAAAUAAAAAAGUUUGGGCCAAAGUGGGUGCGAGCAGUGUCUAAGGCUUCGGAGAUAGAAUGAAAACCUUUGUAGAGUGGUUGGGAAAAAUGCCAAUUUUAAAACCUUGAAAUACUACAUAGUAAGGAAACUUAUUUAUUUAUUUAUUUAUUUAUUUAUUUAUUUUUUUUUUUUUAUAAGUUAAGAGUUCCAAUUUGGAUUUAUAAUAAAAGGGAAAAAAGGCAUCAGGUUGUAACAUAGGUGGUGACAUAAGAUUCUAGUAAGUUUAUAUUGAUAAUCUAAACUAUAAUCUUGGAGGUUGAGUUUGUCCAAAANGAAUUCGUUUUAUGAUAGUACCACAAUUCUUUUUGAGAGAGUACAAACUCUAGAACAAGAACUGAACCCUAAUUGGGAAUUAGCUGCCCGAGACUAUAAAAUCCAAUUAUUAAGACAAAGAGCACAAGAAAGAAUAGACAAACGAAUAUGGAAAAUAGCUAUGGAAUUACAAGAUCAGAGUGGAUCAAGAGUAAGAGAAAUAAUGGAAUAUGAACGCAAGCAAAGGUUAUUAGACACUAAAGACCAAAAUAAAAUUAUUCAAGAUAUUAGGAUUCUGUUCGAUGAUCUUUCCGAACAGGAAGAGAUUAUAAAAGACAUCAGACAUCUCUUUGACAUAUCCCAACCCUCAUUUCAUGACUCUACUAUUUAUGUUAUGACCCUUAUGAAUUUAAAUGAAGAAUGCAGCCAUGAUUGGCAAGAAAGACAAGGAUAUGACCAUAGACCUUGCACAUACUGUAAUUUCUUUCCCGAACGAAAAUUUAGAUGUAAAUGUCGCUUAUGUAAAAUUGAAGCAUGUUCAAUUUGCUUAAACAAAAAGUUUAAUAGACAGAUUACAAAUAUAGAACCUAAAAAGACUUUUGAAAUUGAACAUUUAAAUGCCCAUGAAAAACGAAUUAUAGCUUUAGAAGCCAGAGUUAGCCUUCUGGAAAAACAAGACAAUCCAAGAAAAAACAAAGAAAUCACAAACAAAGGAAAAGGAAUAGAGAUCCGUGAAAAUAUGACAGCACUAUCUGAAUACUAUGAAGAAGAAAACUUAAGAGUAUAUGAAGAUAACUAUAUUUGCAAUGAAGGAUUAAACCUACGAAGCCUAAUUGUUCCAUGUAAAAUACAAAUAGGAAACAAAGACUUUGAAACAGAAGCAGUCAUAGACACUGGCUGUACAACAUGUCUAAUACACACAGAUUUAGUCCCUUUAAAUUAUCGAAAAACAGCAAAGGAACCAACAAAAGGAAUCCAAAUGGACGGUACUGCCCAUAAAUAUACACAGUAUGUUUCUAAUGCAAAAAUUAGUUUCUUAGAUACAUGCAAUACAUUCAAUGAAACUUAUACCCUCCCCAGAGUCUGGUUACGAAAAAUGAAAAUAAAUGCAGACUUUGUAUUAGGUUUAAAUUUCAUGCUCCACUUUUUAGGCGGAAUAAGUAUCAAUAGAGAUUAUGUUAAAUUCUACAAACAUGUCACAAUGACUCCAGUACAAAAGAAAGCAAAGAAACCCUUAAAAGACAGAAUAGAUUGCUGUGACAAUUGCUCUAAAGGAGAACCUUGUUCUCUAGAUAAGAUAACAGACGAAACAGACUUAUUAGAAUUUGACACCUGGCAUGAUGAUUUUUCUUAUAAUCUAGAAAAAUUAUUAGACACCAACUCAAUUUGCAUGGAUUAUGACUUUGUAAAUUGGGAAAAAACCCUCUUAAAUAUAGGUUUUAUUAGAAACCAGCAAGACAUAGAUGAAAUAUUACAUAAACUUGACAAAUUAGAAAUUAUGGGAGACAACCCAAUUAAAUAUUGGGAAAACGAUAAAAUAUAUUGUAAACUGGAUAUAAUUAACCCAGAAUAUAUAGUUAGAACUGCCUCUAUAGACUUCACUAACGAAGAAAGAGAACAAUUUAAACUACACAUAAAUGAACUACUUAAGUUAGGUGUUAUAAGAAAAUCGAUAUCUAAACAUAGAUCAACAGCUUUUAUAGUUAUGAAACAUUCUGAGAUAGUACGAGGAAAAAGCAGAAUGGUCAUUAACUACAAAAGACUUAAUGACAAUACAAAAUUCGAUGGCUAUACUAUUCCAGACAAAUCUCAACUAAUAAAUAGUAUACAAGAUAAAAAGAUUUUUAGUAAAUUUGACUGUAAAUCAGGUUUUUGGCAAGUAAAAAUGGACAAAGAGAGUAUAGAAUGGACAGCUUUUACCUGCCCAGAAGGACAUUUUGANUUUGAAUAUUUUUAUGAAAACCGAAAGUAAAGGUAUGGAAUUCUCCUGUGAGAUGGUAAAUAAUGAAAGGAUAAGGAAGGCUUAGGUUUGACAAAGUCUUAUCAUAUAAUGUUAAAAAUGCAAAAUAAUAAAAGGGCUUUUUGCUUUUUUGUUUUUCUUUUGAUUCUAGCCGUGGUUGUAAAUUUAGAGAAAACAAGUACGGUUUGGAGGAGAUUCUAUGAUUAAUUUAUUAAGUAAGUCUAUCUGAGAUUUGGUAUUCUUUUCUAUGACUACUAAAAUUUGUUGAAUGCUGAAAAGGAUGAUUAAAAUGCUUAAAAGAAAUAUGGAUGGUACUAGCAUUAAAAUCUUCGUGGAGGCUGAGGAGGUCGUCUGGAAAGAAUGUCAAAUAGAUGAGGGUAGUGUAUAAGUUCUUUAUCUAGAGUAAGUAGGAUUAAAGAAAGUAAAUCUAGAUACCUAUGAGUUUCAAUGUAAAAUGUUUUUAAGACACGAAAAUGUACUAAAGUCCCGAUAGGAUGAUUAGCGUAAAUAGGAUUGUUAAUAGGAUUAAAAGUGAAAGCGUCUAUGUCAAAAGCGUCUUCGACUGUUACUUCUAAAAAUCUUCGUCUUCCAAUAUGAACAAUGUUGUAUCGCCAGUUAAAUUGUCUUGGGCUGGUGGUAUUAUCACUAUAGUCUGAACUGUCAUCACUAUUGUUAUUGUCUUCGUAUUCUUCGUAAUCUGGUAAAAUUUCGUCUUCGUUUGGAUUAGCCAGUGUAUUUAUUAUUGUCGAAAUAUCUGAAAAACAAGAAAAGGGUCUAUUUCCCAAAGCUGAGAUAUAAGUUGUAGGAAAAUAAUUAUUAAGGGGAGUGGAACUCCUAAAGUUAAGGAAUCUAUAAUAAAAGUUUCUAUAUAAUAGGGAGUGUAGAGAAAGUUUAGAAUUGGUUCGAUGAGAUAAUAUAAGCACACUAUAAGAAAUCUAAAUAUAGAUUCGAUUAAUAAAUAUAAUGCUAUGUCUUUAUCCAGUUUGAAAAAUGUUAAAUAGGUUGAAAAAUGUUAAAUUAUUAUUUUCUUCCUAUAUAUUGAAAAGGCCAAGUAAUAAGGUAUCGGUCAAAAGUUUCCCAAUAUAUUAUUAAUAUGUCUAAAAUAUUGUAUAUGAUGUCUUCUGGAAAUCCUAACAGAAAUAAUGUUAAAAUAAAAGUUGUCAAGGAAAAAGGUUGAUCGAUGAUAUUACAAAAAAGUUGGUCUGUAUUAUUAUCCGGUGCUUUCCUUUUUGGCAUAAAAAAGUUUUACUAUUUAUUAAAUAUGUGGUUGCAUUGAGGACUUUAGUUAAGAAAAUUUAUUUUCUUUUCUUUUCUCUGUCUUGCUUAAGAAGAAAGCGAGGCUGUUGAAUUGAUUGAAAAAAGAUAAUUAAUAUGGUGUAGCUUUAAGAAAGGAAACUAAAUGUCUUAUAGCUAAAUUAAGAGUAUAAGUGUAUAAUUAAAAGUCUUUGCUAAUUGUAACCAAGAAAGUCUUAGUCUACCAAGAAUGUCUUAGUUUACCAAGAAAGUCUUAGCUCUGAUACCAAGAGGAAACAAGAAAGUCUUAGCUCUGAUACCAAGAAUGUCUAAUUUUAACUUUAUCUUUCCUCCUCCUCUUGAAGGAUGGUGAGCAAGGAAGCAGAGCAAGAGAAAAUCCCACUUAGCCCCUGCCUUAUGUAAAAAUUGCGCUGAAGUUUAAAGGAAGAUCAUUUCGACGACAAGUGAAGAAUGAAGCUCUCAUCUUGUUAGAUAUAGCAUCCUAGCUCCACAAAUAAAUCCAAUGGCUUUUAUUUUCCUGUCCUUCCUGUAAAAAUUUAUCUUUUCAACAACUGCAAUCUGGAGUGAAGAGUCUGUACAAACAAGUCCUUNUUAGUUUCUGUGAAAACUGCUCAACAAUGGCAACACAGCUCCAAAAACUGAAUACUAUUUGUGAUGACUUGAGAACAAAGGAUCAGAAAAAUAUUCAAAGAAUUGCUGUUCUGGAACAACAGAUCAAAGACCUCAAGAACCCCUCACAACAAGGUAUUGUAUCUCUACCUCAAUCUUCCUCUUAUCCUCCUUCAAAGUAUCCUCCUAUAAUGACAACUACACCUAGUUUGGUCUUUCCUCCUAUGACCGACAUAAAUACUCCAUUUCAAUUUACUCCAUUUCAAAACCCACUAAUCCCAGUAGUCCAUCCCUCUAUCUCAGUAAAACCUUUUUUAUCCUCAGCACCACAAAAGCCUACCCUCAAAAGAUAUCCACAGCCAAUUGCCAAACCUUUCCGGCAAAUUGAACCCUCUUCAGAACCAUUACCAUACCCUAGUAUAUGAAACACUGAAGAAAAACAAGGAAAUCCUAUGAUAAUAGAAGCAUCUU